RNAcentral lists this ribosomal RNA (514 nucleotides) under Chondrocyclus sp. MC-2018. RNAcentral describes it as "partial 16S ribosomal RNA". It matches the Rfam family "Bacterial large subunit ribosomal RNA", at positions 1819 to 2597 of the family's 2925-position model. The record is from RNAcentral. Lineage: Eukaryota; Metazoa; Mollusca; Gastropoda; Architaenioglossa; Cyclophoridae.
CGCUUUUUGUAAAUAUAAAAAGUCUUACCUGCCCAGUGUGAAUAGUAGUAAUAAACGGCCGCGGUACCCUGACUGUGCUAAGGUAGCAUAGUGAUUUGCCUCUUAAUUGGUGGAUAGAAUGAAUGGUUUGACGAGAACAUAGCUGUUUCUAAUAUAUUAUACAUAAUUUAUCUUUUAGGUUAAAAUUCCUAAAUUUUAUUGAGGGACGAGAAGACCCUAUUGAAUUUUAAAAAAAUGUUAUAAUAAGACCUAUUAUUAAAAUCUAUUUAUUCUAACAAUAAUUUUGGUUGGGGCAACCAAGGAACAAAAAGAGCUUCCUAUUUAAUAAAAUAACAGCUAUUUUGGAUCCGGCAAUAAAAUGCUGAUAAAAGGAAUUAAUUACCAUAGGGAUAACAGCGUAAUUUUUCUAGAGAGGUCUAAUCGAAAGAGAAGCUUGCGACCUCGAUGUUGGAUUAGGAUAUUUAAAGGGUUGCAGGAGCUCUUAAUAAUUGGUCUGUUCGACCAUUAAAAUCCU